CUGCUGCCUCCCGUAGGAGUCUGGACCGUGUCUCAGUUCCAGUGUGGCUGGUCAUCCUCUCAGACCAGCUAGGGAUCGUCGCCUAGGUGAGCCGUUACCCCACCUACUAGCUAAUCCCAUCUGGGCACAUCCGAUGGCAAGAGGCCCGAAGGUCCCCUCUUUGGUCUUGCGACGUUAUGCGGUAUUAGCUACCGUUUCCAGUAGUUAUCCCCCUCAUCAGGCAGUUUCCCAGACAUUACUCACCCGUCCGCCA
This 253-nucleotide ribosomal RNA is filed under the name uncultured bacterium. Its description in RNAcentral is "partial 16S ribosomal RNA". The record is from RNAcentral.